Molecule: long non-coding RNA, 598 nt
Filed under: Mytilus galloprovincialis (Mediterranean mussel)
Lineage: Eukaryota; Metazoa; Mollusca; Bivalvia; Mytilida; Mytilidae
Source: RNAcentral
CGUAACGUCGUCCACCAUUGUUUACUUGCCGUAAACCGUCUCAAUGUCGUUAAUGAUAAUUAUGACGUCAUAAGCAGGUGCGUUGCUACUUAGUAUAAAUAGAGAACACAUUAUUGUGUUUCUUCAGUCGUGAAUUGACUCCUGAGGUAAACAGUACACUCGAUAAAAAUCUAUAGCAAACGCUUAAGUCUCAGACUUUCUUUCAUUCACUAUAUACUGAAUAAAGACACACGCUUUUUCAAGAUAAUAUUUAUUAGUAGUGACUCAGUGAAUAUUUUGAAAACAGUCACGAAUUAUUCUUUCGAAAUGAAUAUAAACAAUAUUUGUUUACAGAAAUAAGCGACUCAGUCGAUUUAUAAGUUACAUUAAAUCCAUAUUUGUGAGACGCACUUCUCAAGGUCAAAACAAUGAGUGUGGACAUGCAUUAAUGCUAUUUCGUAAUAAACGAUUCAGUCGGGGGAUAUGCAUACAAAGCCGUAUUUUAUGAUGGUCUCAAUAAUGAGCAUAAACACAUCCAGUAGAUAAAUUAAUAUCAAAUUACAUUUAUCCGUAUUGUACUAAUAUUUUAUGAACCGGAAUACUUGACCAGAGUUAUCCC